Ficedula albicollis (Collared flycatcher) is the source of this 1188-nucleotide long non-coding RNA. RefSeq lists it as uncharacterized. NCBI's taxonomy places the organism in Eukaryota, Metazoa, Chordata, Aves, Passeriformes, Muscicapidae. The transcript has 2 exons. The record is from RefSeq and is a predicted model, not a curated record.
GGGCGCGGUUUGUGAGGGAAAAAAAUCCAAGAAAAAGGUAAAAAAGGGGAAAUAAUGAGACAAGAGGGUUUUUCACACUAGGGGCGGUGGAUUUUUGGGGGGGUUCUGCCCUUUUUUGGCGAUUUUGGGGACUAUUUUGUCGCCCCCGCGGGGGCGGCGCCGGGCCCUUUAUAAGGCAGGGCCCCGCGGCCGCAGCGCCCGGCCGAGAGCCAGCCCCGAUCCCGCCCGAAUUUGGCCCAAAACCGCUCGAUCCUGAGCACAAAGCUCCUAAAGCUGCUCGAUUUUAUCCAAAAAAGCUCCUAAAAUGGCUUUAUUUUCUAUCCAGAGCUCCAAUAAUGGCUUUACUGCCUACGGAAAGCUCUUAAAGCUGCGAUAUUUUAUAGCAAGAGCUCCUAAGGCUGCUUUAUUUCGUAAAAGCGGCUCCUAAGUCUUUAUUUAAAAAUAAAGACAAAAGGUGUUUCCUUUAAGGAAAACUGAGCUCUUAAAGCUGCUUGAUUUCAAUAAAAAUCCUUAAAUUGCGGCGAUUCCACUAACGGGAAAAGCCGGGGCGAGCCGGGGCAUUUUUAAUUGAAAAAAACCAAUCAAAACCCUUAAAAAAAGCUCUUAAAGCUGGGUUUUAUUUAAACCAAAGCAUUUGAUGCUGGUUUUUAAGAAAUCGCUGCUUUCAAAGCCGAUUUCUGGGAGAAAUCGCAGCUCUCGCAGCUCUUUAAUUCUUAAAAAAUAUCAUAAUUUGAUAUAAAAGCCGGAGCGAGCUGGGGCGGUUUGAAUUUAAAAAGAGCUUUUUAAGCUGCUUUAAUUGAAAGAAAGAAAGAAAACGCGCUUGAUACGCUGUUUUCUGCUAAAAAAAAGCUCUUAAAUUUAAUUUUUAAAAAGCUCCUAAAGCUUAAAAAAUGUCGUUUUGUCCCCAAGUGGGGCCGGGCCGGGCAGCGCAGAUGGGGCGGCCGGUUUGGGGUGAAAUGCGGCAUUUUCAGGCUCAGGAUGGAUUGAGAGGAGCCAAUUUUGAGGCAAGAGCAGGAAAAAUGAAGAGUGAAGAUGGAGUCGGCAGGGAGAGGAAAGUUUUUCUUCGCAGUGACCCCAUCUGGGGGGAUAAAGGACUUUUUGGUAAAAUGGCGGCAGUUGGGCAGGGAAGGAGCAGAGAGAAGAGAGAAAAAAAACCAGGAAAAAAAGGCAGAAAAUAGAACAAAGAGA